CUGAUACACAGAGAGGGCAAUUCUUGGUGUAGAAGGAGAGAGAUAAGAGCCAUGGAAGCUUUGAAAACCGCUAGCUUCAGUCCUAUGUCAGUUCUAUCCGACAAAAGAUCAGAACCACGACGACCCUUCUCGCUCCCUAGCCUCUUUCCACCAAAGACGCCAAAACCAAUCUCCCAAGAAAGCUUCUUCAGGAGCUUCAACGGCGGAUUAGCGCUUCUAACCUCUGUCCUAAGCAGUGCAACAGCUCCUGCAAAGUCUCUGACCUACGAGGAAGCUCUGCAACAAUCUGUGACCUCUCCUUCAUCGUUUGACUCAGACGGCUUUAUCGAUGGUAUAUCAAGUUUCGUCACUGACAACCCUCUGGUGAUCGCCGGUGGAGUUGCUGCAUUUGCUGUCCCCUUUGUUCUCUCUCAGGUUCUGAACAAGAAGCCUAAAUCCUUUGGAGUUGAGUCUGCUAAGAAUGCUUACACCAAGCUGGGCACUGAUGAAACUGCGCAGCUGCUUGACAUAAGAGCCGCUGCUGAUUCCAGACAAGUGGGCAGUCCUAAUAUCAAAGGUUUAGGUAAAAAGACGGUUUCGGUUGUUUAUAACGGAGAAGACAAGGAUGGUUUCUUGAAGAAGCUUUCCUUGAAGUUGAGAGGAGAAGCUUGGGAUCCAUUGGGUGAGCCUGAGAAAUGAUAAUGAAAAAUGGCAGAAGAAAGGUGUCACCUUUUCGAUUGGGAUGAAUGUGUGCAGAAGGAUAUGUUCUUCCCUAGAUUGAGAUUGAGAUUGGGGUUUAACGAUGGAAGUCAUAAAACCUUGAAGCAUCUCUCUGACGACUCUGAUAUUAUCUUAUAGGUCUUGAACGUAAUACUAGAGCAAACGGGAGGGUAGAAAUGGAAUUAACGCUACCAAAAAAACAAAAUCAUCUUUCACAGCAAACGAUGUCGUUUCAGUCACUGUUUCUUACGCUUGCCGCCGUGAGAGAACGGCUGAGAAACAUCUUGUAGUUUGGUCUCUCUCUUCUUUCGAGUGUUUUGAUAAAGGGCGUUUUGGUAAAUAUGUUAAGGCUUCUACUGAGUAUUGACCACACAAUGUAACAUGCACUUUAGGACCGUAAAAGUUUACUAUGCUCUAUUCUUACACCCAAGACAUGAUCAAGAGUCAUCUCAUCCAAAAGCGUGACGUGUCAAUCAAGCAGUGGGUAAUAUUGAUUACACAGCCCACGUCAGCUUACUAGAAACUGCUCCACGCUUGUCCUCACACUUCUUUUCCACUUGUUCUUCUAAUCUCUCUAAGAAAUUUGCUGAUACACAGAGAGGGCAAUUCUUGGUGUAGAAGGAGAGAGAUAAGAGCCAUGGAAGCUUUGAAAACCGCUAGCUUCAGUCCUAUGUCAGUUCUAUCCGACAAAAGAUCAGAACCACGACGACCCUUCUCGCUCCCUACCCUCUUUCCACCAAAGACGCCAAAACCAAUCUCCCAAGAAAGCUUCUUCAGGAGCUUCAACGGCGGAUUAGCGCUUCUAACCUCUGUCCUAAGCAGUGCAACAGCUCCUGCGAAGUCUCUGACCUACGAGGAAGCUCUGCAACAAUCUGUGACCUCUCCUUCAUCGUUUGACUCAGACGGCUUUAUCGAUGGUAUAUCAAGUUUCGUCACUGACAACCCUCUGGU
This 1650-nucleotide long non-coding RNA is filed under the name Brassica napus (rape). Its description in RNAcentral is "long non-coding RNA (BNAP_LNC008690)". Lineage: Eukaryota; Viridiplantae; Streptophyta; Magnoliopsida; Brassicales; Brassicaceae. The record is from RNAcentral.